AAUAGAUACCCCGGUAGUCCACGCCGUAAACGAUGGAUACUAGCUGUUUGAGCGCAAGUUUGAGUGGCUAAGCGAAAGUGAUAAGUAUCCCACCUGGGGAGUACGGGCGCAAGCCUGAAACUCAAAGGAAUUGACGGGGGCCCGCACAAGCGGUGGAGCAUGUGGUUUAAUUCGAUGAUACGCGAGGGACCUUACCAGGGCUUAAAUGUAGAUUGACGUACUUGGAAACAGAUAUUUCUUCGGACAAUUUACAAGGUGCUGCAUGGUUGCCGUCAGCUCGUGCCGUGAGGUGUCAGGUUAAGUCCUAUAACGAGCGCAACCCCUGUUGUUAGUUGCCAGCGAGUAAUGUCGGGAACUCUAGCAAGACUGCCAGUGUAAACUGUGAGGAAGGUGGGGAUGACGUCAAAUCAUCACGGCCCUUACGUCCUGGGCCACACACGUGCUACAAUGGCCGGUACAGAGAGCAGCCACUUAGCGAUAAGGAGCGAAUCUAUAAAGCCGGUCACAGUUCGGAUCGGAGU
RNAcentral lists this ribosomal RNA (521 nucleotides) under uncultured bacterium. Its description in RNAcentral is "bacterial SSU rRNA". It matches the Rfam family "Bacterial small subunit ribosomal RNA", at positions 777 to 1304 of the family's 1533-position model. The record is from RNAcentral.